UUUACGGAGAGUUUGAUCCUGGCUCAGGACGAACGCUGGCGGCGUGCUUAACACAUGCAAGUCGAACGGUGAAGAGAAGCUUGCUUCUUGGAUCAGUGGCGAACGGGUGAGUAACACGUGAGUAACCUGCCCCCGACUCUGGGAUAAGCACUGG
Molecule: ribosomal RNA, 154 nt
Filed under: Cryobacterium inferilacus
Lineage: Bacteria; Bacillati; Actinomycetota; Actinomycetes; Micrococcales; Microbacteriaceae
Description: partial 16S ribosomal RNA
Rfam family: Bacterial small subunit ribosomal RNA
Source: RNAcentral